AACCCUAACAAGCACAAAAUCAAGAAAUUGGAAGGGCAAAUCAAACCCAAAUCGAAAUUCAAGCACAUAUUAGUGAUCACCUCAGUAAAAGGGAUCAAAAGUUGACGAUCGACAAGCUAGGUGGAAGCUUGGGGAAAGAAGCCGGUUAAAUGGAAUAAAUACGCCGAAAAAGAGCAUAGCCGGAUGCAAGGAAAUAACAUAAGCUUGCAUCGCUUUAACUAAAAGGAUUUAAGGCAAAAAUUAUGUAAUGGGUCAAUACUUUGACCCGAGCCAGGUAU
Long non-coding RNA from Helianthus annuus (common sunflower), 278 nucleotides. RefSeq lists it as uncharacterized. Lineage: Eukaryota; Viridiplantae; Streptophyta; Magnoliopsida; Asterales; Asteraceae. The record is from RefSeq and is a predicted model, not a curated record. The transcript has 3 exons.